RNAcentral lists this ribosomal RNA (498 nucleotides) under uncultured Glomeromycotina. RNAcentral's name for it is "partial small subunit ribosomal RNA". It matches the Rfam family "Eukaryotic small subunit ribosomal RNA", at positions 591 to 1092 of the family's 1831-position model. Lineage: Eukaryota; Fungi; Glomeromycota. The record is from RNAcentral.
CCAAUAGCGUAUAUUAAAGUUGUUGCAGUUAAAAAGCUCGUAGUUGAAUUUCGGGAUCAGUACGUUGGUCAUGCCUUGGUAUGAACUGGUGUCACUGAUUCCUCCCUUCUGACGAACCGUCAUGCCAUUCACUUGGUGUGGCGUGGAAUCAGGACUGUUACUUUGAAAAAAUUAGAGUGUUUAAAGCAGGCUCACGCUUGAAUACAUUAGCAUGGAAUAAUGGAAUAGGACGUUGAUCCUAUUUUGUUGGUUUCUAGGAUUGACGUAAUGAUUAAUAGGGAUAGUUGGGGGCAUUAGUAUUCAAUUGUCAGAGGUGAAAUUCUUGGAUUUAUUGAAGACUAACUACUGCGAAAGCAUUUGCCAAGGAUGUUUUCAUUAAUCAAGAACGAAAGUUAGGGGAUCGAAGACGAUCAGAUACCGUCGUAGUCUUAACCAUAAACUAUGCCGACUAGGGAUCGGAUGAUGUUAAUUUUUUAAUGACUCAUUCGGCGCCUUACG